GGCCGCCAGCUAUUUCGGUGAAAGCGCCUUACGGUUUUGUAAUGGAAGUUACACUUCUGUAUGUCUUUAUUCUGUGCUUGAGAGAACCACCAGACUAGUCCCAAGUCCUCUGUGCACGCUUUUGAUUUCUGUGACGUCACCGAGCGAAUAUCUUGACAGACUAUGCUUUUGUUUACAGUUUUUGUUUUAAGUUUAUUUGGAAUAAUUAUUUUCUAGAAUAAGUUUGUA
Molecule: non-coding RNA, 228 nt
Organism: Paramuricea clavata
Lineage: Eukaryota; Metazoa; Cnidaria; Anthozoa; Malacalcyonacea; Plexauridae
Source: the annotation of a GenBank genome assembly